AUUGAACGCUGGCGGCAGGCCUAACACAUGCAAGUCGAGCGAGCGGCGGACGGGUGAGUAAUGUCUGGGAAACUGCCUGAUGGAGGGGGAUAACUACUGGAAACGGUAGCUAAUACCGCAUACCAUCAGAUGUGCCCAGAUGGGAUUAGCUAGUAGGUGGGGUAACGGCUCACCUAGUCGACGAUCCCUAGCUCGUAUGAGAGGAUUACAAGCCAAACGGGCACGGAGACACGGUCCAGAGUCCUACGGGAGGCAGCAGUGGGGAAUUUUGCACAAUGGGCGCAAGCCGGAUGCAGCCAUGCCGCGUGUGUGAAGAAGGCCUUCGGGUUUUAAAGCACUUUCAGCAGGGAGGCGGUACCCGCAGAAGAAGCACCGGCUAACUCCGUGCCAGCAGCCGCGGUAAUUC
This 406-nucleotide ribosomal RNA is filed under the name uncultured bacterium. Its description in RNAcentral is "partial 16S ribosomal RNA". It matches the Rfam family "Bacterial small subunit ribosomal RNA", at positions 30 to 526 of the family's 1533-position model. The record is from RNAcentral.